UACGUAGGCAGCGAGCGUUGUUCGGAGUUACUGGGCGUAAAGGGUGUGUAGGCGGUUGUUUAAGUUUGGUGUGAAAUCUCCCGGCUCAACUGGGAGGGUGCGCCGAAUACUGAGCGACUAGAGUGCGGGAGAGGAAAGUGGAAUUCCUGGUGUAGCGGUGAAAUGCGUAGAUAUCAGGAGGAACACCGGUGGUGUAGAUGGCUUUCUGGACCGUAACUGACGCUGAGACACGAAAGCGUGGGUAGCAAACAGG
Molecule: ribosomal RNA, 253 nt
Filed under: uncultured bacterium
Lineage: Bacteria
Description: partial 16S ribosomal RNA
Rfam family: Bacterial small subunit ribosomal RNA
Source: RNAcentral